This 406-nucleotide ribosomal RNA is filed under the name uncultured Anaerovorax sp. Its description in RNAcentral is "bacterial SSU rRNA". It matches the Rfam family "Bacterial small subunit ribosomal RNA", at positions 355 to 776 of the family's 1533-position model. Lineage: Bacteria; Bacillati; Bacillota; Clostridia; Peptostreptococcales; Anaerovoracaceae. The record is from RNAcentral.
UGGGGAAUAUUGCACAAUGGGCGAAAGCCUGAUGCAGCAACGCCGCGUGAGCGAUGAAGGCCUUUGGGUCGUAAAGCUCUGUCCUUGGGGAAGAAAAAAAUGACGGUACCCUUGGAGGAAGCCCCGGCUAACUACGUGCCAGCAGCCGCGGUAAUACGUAGGGGGCAAGCGUUAUCCGGAAUUAUUGGGCGUAAAGAGUGCGUAGGUGGUUUUGUAAGCGCGGGGUGAAAGGCUAUGGCUCAACCAUAGUAAGCCUUGCGAACUGUAAGACUUGAGUGCAGGAGAGGAAAGCGGAAUUCCUAGUGUAGCGGUGAAAUGCGUAGAUAUUAGGAGGAACACCAGUGGCGAAGGCGGCUUUCUGGACUGUAACUGACACUGAGGCACGAAAGCGUGGGUAGCAAACAGG